This 253-nucleotide ribosomal RNA is filed under the name uncultured bacterium. RNAcentral describes it as "partial 16S ribosomal RNA". It matches the Rfam family "Bacterial small subunit ribosomal RNA", at positions 524 to 776 of the family's 1533-position model. The record is from RNAcentral.
UACGUAGGUGGCAAGCGUUAUCCGGAUUUAUUGGGCGUAAAGGGAACGCAGGCGGUCUUUUAAGUCUGAUGUGAAAGCCUUCGGCUUAACCGGAGUAGUGCAUUGGAAACUGGGAGACUUGAGUGCAGAAGAGGAGAGUGGAACUCCAUGUGUAGCGGUGAAAUGCGUAGAUAUAUGGAAGAACACCAGUGGCGAAAGCGGCUCUCUGGUCUGUAACUGACGCUGAGGGUCGAAAGCGUGGGUAGCAAAUAGG